UUUAAUAAAUACAGUCUUUUUCCGUGCCGGACUGUGUCCAAGUCCCUUGGAACAGGGUAUCAAAGAGGGUGAUAAUCCCGUACUUGACACAAUGACCGGUGCUCUGUGAUACGUCUUCUACGAGUCGAGUUGUUUGGGAAUGCAGCUCAAAAUGGGUGGUGAGUUCCAUCUAAAGCUAAAUAUUGGCGAGAGACCGAUAGCGAACAAGUACCGUGAGGGAAAGAUGAAAAGCACUUUGGAAAGAGAGUUAAACAGUACGUGAAAUUGUUAAAAGGGAAACGAUUGAAGUCAGUCGUGACUGAGAGGCUCAGCCGGUUCUGCCGGUGUAUUCCCCUCAGUCGGGUCAACAUCAGUUUUGUUCGGUGGAUAAGGGCAGUUGGAAGGUGGCACCCUCGGGUGUGUUAUAGCCAGCUGUCGCAUACAUCGGAUGAGACUGAGGAAUGCAGCUCGCCUUUAUGGCCGGGGUUCGCCCACGUUCGAGCUUAGGAUGUUGACAUAAUGGCUUUAAACGACC
Molecule: ribosomal RNA, 514 nt
Filed under: Cryptococcus sp. DMKU-SP96
Lineage: Eukaryota; Fungi; Basidiomycota; Tremellomycetes; Tremellales; Cryptococcaceae
Description: LSU rRNA
Rfam family: Eukaryotic large subunit ribosomal RNA
Source: RNAcentral